GACGAACGCUGGCGGCGUGCUUAACACAUGCAAGUCGAACGAAGUGGCGAACGGGUGAGUAACGCGUAAUCAACCUGCCCUUCAGAGGGGGACAACAGUUGGAAACGACUGCUAAUACCGCAUACUGAAGGAGGGGAUUGCGUCUGAUUAGCUGGUUGGAGGGGUAACGGCCCACCAAGGCGAUGAUCAGUAGCCGGUCUGAGAGGGUGAACGGCGACAUGGGGACUGGGACACGGCCCAGACUCCUACGGGGUGCAGCAGUGGGGAAUCUUCGGCAAUGGGGGGAAGCCUGACCGAACAACGCCGCGUGAGUGAAGAAGGUUUUCGGGUCGUAAAGCUCUGUUAUUAAGGAAGCGGUACUUAACCAGAAAGGGACGGCUAACUACGUGCCAGCAGCCGCGGUAAUAC
This 408-nucleotide ribosomal RNA is filed under the name uncultured bacterium. Its description in RNAcentral is "partial 16S ribosomal RNA". It matches the Rfam family "Bacterial small subunit ribosomal RNA", at positions 28 to 526 of the family's 1533-position model. The record is from RNAcentral.